This 253-nucleotide ribosomal RNA is filed under the name uncultured bacterium. Its description in RNAcentral is "partial 16S ribosomal RNA". It matches the Rfam family "Bacterial small subunit ribosomal RNA", at positions 524 to 776 of the family's 1533-position model. The record is from RNAcentral.
UACAGAGGGUGCAAACGUUGUUCGGAAUUACUGGGCGUAAAGCGCGUGUAGGCGGUCUGACAAGUCAGGUGUGAAAGCCCUGGGCUCAACCCAGGAAGUGCACUUGAAACUGCCAGGCUAGAGUAUCGGAGAGGUUGGUGGAAUUCUCGGUGUAGAGGUGAAAUUCGUAGAUAUCGAGAGGAACACCGGUGGCGAAGGCGGCCAGCUGGACGAAUACUGACGCUGAGACUCGAAAGCGUGGGGAGCAAACAGG